CAAUCUUUGACGCAAUGGCGCUCUCGGGAUAUACCUGGGAGCACGCCUCUCUCAGAAUCGAUCUCACUCUCACCCGCCUUUUUCUUAGGAGAAAGCAUGUGGUGGUAGCUGGGAGUCAAGCGCGCUUUACUGUGUGCUUGUCUCUUCAAAUGAGUGGAGCUGUAGUGGCGCCCUGUGCGCAGCUGCCCGCCUCCGUCGUCUCUCACGUGGCUAGUUUCGCAGCAAUGUGAAUUAACAAAACGUGAUGGGGUGGCGUUGGUGGCGCUGCGCGUUAUACAGUGUGUGUCAGCCCUUAUGCAACUACAGUGUAUGGUCAAUAAGCGUGGUUCUGUCUACCGUCUUUAGCGUGCUGCGACAUACAAAGCACUUCACCCGCUAUCAUUGCCUAGCAAUGAGCGACAAUCGGAGCCAAUGAAAAUUGGUCCCUUCCGACUGGCGUCCAACGGAGGUGAAGUGUGUCAUAGUACUGCAAUGUAAUGUACGGCUUAUCAGAACGUGGCUGUGUGGUGCUGACAAUGUGUCGGCCCAGUCGUUUGAUUUGAUCUGAGAUGAAGCGAGAUUACCCCCUGAAUUUAAGCAUAUUAAUAAGGGGAGGAAAAGAAACUAACAAGGAUUCCCCUAGUAACGGCGAGUGAAGCGGGAAUAGCUCAGACUGAGAAUCGAGUGUGCAUGCGCGCCCUCGAGUUGUAUAGUGUCGACAACAGUUCAGCGUGUGGUCCGGGGCCUAGUCCUUUGGAACAGGUAUCAGAGAGGGUGAGAAUCCCGUCUGUGGCAGG
RNAcentral lists this ribosomal RNA (776 nucleotides) under Allapsa scotia. Its description in RNAcentral is "eukaryotic LSU rRNA". The stretch from base 540 to 776 matches the Rfam family "Eukaryotic large subunit ribosomal RNA", at positions 1 to 234 of the family's 3401-position model. The record is from RNAcentral. Lineage: Eukaryota; Cercozoa; Glissomonadida; Allapsidae.